AUUGAACGCUGGCGGCAUGCUUUACACAUGCAAGUCGAACGGCAGCGCGGGUUUCGGCCUGGCGGCGAGUGGCGAACGGGUGAGUAAUACAUCGGAACGUGUCCUGUAGAGGGGGAUAGCCCGGCGAAAGCCGGAUUAAUACCGCAUACGACCUACGGGUGAAAGCGGGGGAUCGCAAGACCUCGCGCUAUUGGAGCGGC
This 200-nucleotide ribosomal RNA is filed under the name uncultured bacterium. RNAcentral's name for it is "partial 16S ribosomal RNA". It matches the Rfam family "Bacterial small subunit ribosomal RNA", at positions 30 to 230 of the family's 1533-position model. The record is from RNAcentral.